GUGAGCCCUUAAAAGGGACAGAAAUUUUGCACUCGGGGAGCUCAGAUUUUAAGACAGUAGCUUGCUGAUGCUCCCAGCUGAAUAAAGCCCUUCCUUCUACAACUCGGUGUCUGAGGGGUUUUGUCUGCAGCUCGUCCUGCUACAAUGGUGGUUCCUUUAUAGAGUCCAUCUGCUCACUACAUGUGAUUCAAGCCUAGCUCGAAAGAUAGGCAAGUGAUGACUUAGGACACUGUCAAUGGCAUGAGACUUCUUUCCAAGCUAUCAGAAGACCGCCUUCUUUUCCCACUGCUACUGCCAGGAUAUUCAUGAUUCCCUACCUUGAAUCAAUGCCGCCAUCUUCCUUUUAACUCAGGGACUAUGAGAUACACAGGUCUUCAAUGCCAGUCACCUCAUGGACUCACCACCUAGUUUAUCAAGGAGAAGUUGAUGCUGGGAGCAACUACAAAAAUGAAGCUACUCUGAUUUAGCCAAAAAGAUUCUCCAUUCUAAGGACUCCUGUGAUUUGAUUGGGAGCCUCUACAUCAUUCAGGAGAAUCCUCUGACCUCAAGUUCUGUAACCUGAAUCACAUCAUAAGGUAAUCUAUUCAUAGGUUCUGGGGAUUCGCGUGUGGGAAUCUUGGCAGGCAAUGAUUUUCUGCAUUCCAUAAUGAUACGGAAGAGCUAGGCUCCUGGCUAAACCCCACCUUUAAGCCUCGGAUGGUGACCAUAAGUGAAAACAUCUGACCCCAUUUUUCUGCCCAAAUGUUGCCUUUUUGGCCCAGUCUGCCCCUAUUCUGUGCCCACAACAGACUUCAGCUGGCAGAGCAACACAAGCAGCUGAAUAUCAAGAGGUGAAGAAGCAACUGGGCAUCUGAGACUAUGGAUAGAUGCGACUUAACUUCAGACGGCACAACUUUGGAGAGGAGCCCAGAUGGAGACGACCAGGCUUCAAGGAAAGAUCACCUUCUUCUUGCACCCCCCUUUCAGCUCCCCUUCUGCUGAGAGCUACUUCCACUGCCUAAUAAAAUCCUCUGCAUCAUCACCUUUCAAACCAUUCGUGCGACCUGAUUCUUCCUGGAUGCCGAACAAGAACCUGGGAACCAAGAGGGCAGAGUAUUAGGCUGUCACCCUGACUCUCCACUAAGCUGGUUAACACUUAGCUGCCAUGGACAGCAACUCCUAAAAGAGCAUUAAUUUUAUCACACCCCUAGACGCUGCCAGGGGGCUGGAGCCCAAAAGCAUUUGCCCCAGCUCCAACACCCACUUGCCUGUGUGCUCCCUCCCGUGAGGGGUUGAGCCCAGUGGGUUUGAGUGAGUGAAGUUCAUCCCUGUUGGCAGCAAAGUGGCAGGCUGAACCCAGAGCCAGUGCACUCUAGUUCCCAUCUGCAAAAGGGUCAAAGGAACUCUCCUGUCUCAACAACAUAUUACUGACUAACACAAGCAUCUUAUGCCUGGUAGCAUCAAAUUAAGCAAAGGGUAGCCCGAAUGCCAUGUCUUCACAUUUUAUUCCACUUGGAUCUCCUGUAGAAUGGCUGUUUACCAUGGAAGGGCUGAUUCCAAUUCUCACGUUAAUCACUUACAAGGCAGAAACCAGCUAGUCUAGACUGGUAAAGGGCUUUCCAGUUCAUUCAUCAGCCUCCUCUGAUUCUCUCAGGGCUCAUUCAGAUGUUCCCAAUCCUUUCACAAGAUUACAAUUCAACACAUAUGGAAGCACAAAAAAAAAUGCUGAUUUCCCCACAUAAAUAAUAAUUAAUUACUAAUGAAGAUAAUGGUGACAGACUAUGGGACUUAAGAAAAAACCUACGAGGAUGUAUCACAAGACAAAUCCUUCUAAAAAUUAAACUAUUUGCAGACAAUCAGAAAGUCAAAACUAACAAUCUCUUAAACAUUUCUCAGAUAUGGCUGUAAUAACAUAGCAUUCCUAUAAAAAUGAACUUUUAGGUUAAAUAUAUCUUUACACAUACAUGCACUUGCACCCACAUGUACACACAAUCUAUUUUUGGAUCUACUGAAUAAAGCAUCAUUAUUUAAAGUGAAGCAAUAAAAGUUUCAACGUCUUUUUUUCUAAGUAUUAGCCUUGAAGUUAUUCACCCUAACCAAA
RNAcentral lists this long non-coding RNA (2080 nucleotides) under Homo sapiens (human). RNAcentral's name for it is "HSALNT0056537". The record is from RNAcentral. Lineage: Eukaryota; Metazoa; Chordata; Mammalia; Primates; Hominidae.